RNAcentral lists this ribosomal RNA (252 nucleotides) under uncultured bacterium. Its description in RNAcentral is "partial 16S ribosomal RNA". It matches the Rfam family "Bacterial small subunit ribosomal RNA", at positions 93 to 353 of the family's 1533-position model. The record is from RNAcentral.
GAGCGGCGAACGGGUGAGUAACACGUAGGUGAUCUGCCCAUCAGACGGGGACAACGAUUGGGAACGAUCGCUAAUACCGGAUAGGACGAAAGUUUAAAGGUGCUUCUGGCACCGCUGAUGGAUGAGCCUGCGGCGCAUUAGCUAGUUGGUAGGGUAAAGGCCUACCAAGGCGACGAUGCGUAGCCGACCUGAGAGGGUGAACGGCCACACUGGGACUGAGACACGGCCCAGACUCCUACGGGAGGCAGCAUG